Molecule: ribosomal RNA, 397 nt
Filed under: uncultured bacterium
Lineage: Bacteria
Description: bacterial SSU rRNA
Rfam family: Bacterial small subunit ribosomal RNA
Source: RNAcentral
GACGAACGCUGGCGGCGUGCUUAACACAUGCAGGUCGAGCGGUAAGGCCCUUUCGGGGGUACGACGAGCGGCGAACGGGUGAGUAACACGUGGGUGACCUGCCCUCAGCUCUGGGAUAAGCCUGGGAAACCGGGUCUAAUACUGGAUAUGACUCCAUGACGCAUGUUGUGGGGUGGAAAGCCUUGUGCGGCUGAGGAUGGGCCCGCGGCCUAUCAGCUUGUUGGUGGGGUGAGGCCUACCAAGGCGACGACGGGUAGCCGGCCUGAGAGGGCGACCGGCCACACUGGGACUGAGACACGGCCCAGACUCCUACGGGAGGCAGCAGUGGGGAAUCUUGCGCAAUGGGCGAAAGCCUGACGCAGCGACGCCGCGUGAGGGAUGACGGCCUGGUGUAACU